GCACCCGUAGCUCAACUGGAUAGAGCGUUGGUCUCCGGAGCCAAAGGUCGUAGGUUCGAAUCCUGUCGGGUGCA
Molecule: transfer RNA, 74 nt
Filed under: Candidatus Enterovibrio altilux
Lineage: Bacteria; Pseudomonadati; Pseudomonadota; Gammaproteobacteria; Vibrionales; Vibrionaceae
Description: Candidatus Enterovibrio luxaltus tRNA
Rfam family: tRNA
About the family: Transfer RNA (tRNA) molecules are approximately 80 nucleotides in length. Their secondary structure includes four short double-helical elements and three loops (D, anti-codon, and T loops).
Source: Rfam by way of RNAcentral